GGCCUGGUAGUUCAGCUGGUUAGAACGCUAGCCUGUCACGCUAGAGGUCGUCGGUUCGAGCCCGAUCCAGGUCG
This 74-nucleotide transfer RNA is filed under the name Clostridiales bacterium. RNAcentral's name for it is "tRNA-Asp". It matches the Rfam family "tRNA". From Rfam's summary of the family: Transfer RNA (tRNA) molecules are approximately 80 nucleotides in length. Their secondary structure includes four short double-helical elements and three loops (D, anti-codon, and T loops). Further hydrogen bonds mediate the characteristic L-shaped molecular structure. tRNAs have two regions of fundamental functional importance: the anti-codon, which is responsible for specific mRNA codon recognition, and the 3' end, to which the tRNAs corresponding amino acid is attached (by aminoacyl-tRNA synthetases). tRNAs cope with the degeneracy of the genetic code in two manners: having more than one tRNA (with a specific anti-codon) for a particular amino acid; and 'wobble' base-pairing, i.e. permitting non-standard base-pairing at the 3rd anti-codon position. RNAcentral also lists the same sequence under 2 other names. The record is from RNAcentral. Lineage: Bacteria; Bacillati; Bacillota; Clostridia; Eubacteriales.